Unclassified non-coding RNA from Tupaia belangeri (northern tree shrew), 305 nucleotides. Its record names the gene 7SK. It matches the Rfam family "7SK RNA". Rfam says of the family: 7SK was discovered as an abundant small nuclear RNA in the mid-70s but a possible function has only recently been suggested. NCBI's taxonomy places the organism in Eukaryota, Metazoa, Chordata, Mammalia, Scandentia, Tupaiidae. The record is from Ensembl.
GGAUUUCAGGAUGAUUAGGCUAUGACAUUUAUCACCUCAAUGGUCUCCCAGGAUUGAUCUGGCGGGCGCUGUGGUGUCACCUUCCUGCAUCAUGGCUCUUAAGAGUGUCCCUCCUGAAGCUGCACAGGGUCAAAGAUGAAGAUGUUCCCCAACAGAGGAGAAGUGCUCUCCCAUUAACGGCACAAAAAAGCGCUGUGCUCCCCUGCUAAGACUUGCAUGCAGACUCGCUGAGUAUGAGUUGCUUUCAACAGAGAAGAUUCUGAAAUCUACACAUAAGUUUUUCCAUAAUGGUCCAUUUGCGUGAA